UUAUAACAUUUAUUAUUAUGCUUAUAUUAUAUAUUAGGUUUAUAUAUAUAUAUAUAUAUUAGGGUAGUUCUUAAUAGGGUUGUUUUUGAACUUUUAUGCUCCCAGGGGCUUAAACGCUUUUAAAUUGA
This is a long non-coding RNA of Diprion similis, 128 nucleotides long. RefSeq lists it as uncharacterized. The transcript has 3 exons. The record is from RefSeq and is a predicted model, not a curated record. Lineage: Eukaryota; Metazoa; Arthropoda; Insecta; Hymenoptera; Diprionidae.